ACCUGGCUGGCCCAGUCGGUAGAGCACGCGACUCGUGAUCUCGGGGUUGUGAGUUUGAGCCCCAUGCUGGGUG
Molecule: transfer RNA, 73 nt
Filed under: Ailuropoda melanoleuca (giant panda)
Lineage: Eukaryota; Metazoa; Chordata; Mammalia; Carnivora; Ursidae
Rfam family: tRNA
About the family: Transfer RNA (tRNA) molecules are approximately 80 nucleotides in length. Their secondary structure includes four short double-helical elements and three loops (D, anti-codon, and T loops). Further hydrogen bonds mediate the characteristic L-shaped molecular structure. tRNAs have two regions of fundamental functional importance: the anti-codon, which is responsible for specific mRNA codon recognition, and the 3' end, to which the tRNAs corresponding amino acid is attached (by aminoacyl-tRNA synthetases). tRNAs cope with the degeneracy of the genetic code in two manners: having more than one tRNA (with a specific anti-codon) for a particular amino acid; and 'wobble' base-pairing, i.e. permitting non-standard base-pairing at the 3rd anti-codon position.
Source: Rfam by way of RNAcentral